This 460-nucleotide ribosomal RNA is filed under the name uncultured bacterium. RNAcentral describes it as "partial 16S ribosomal RNA". It matches the Rfam family "Bacterial small subunit ribosomal RNA", at positions 338 to 795 of the family's 1533-position model. The record is from RNAcentral.
CCUACGGGUGGCAGCAGUGAGGAAUAUUGGUCAAUGGACGAGAGUCUGAACCAGCCAAGUAGCGUGAAGGAUGACUGCCCUAUGGGUUGUAAACUUCUUUUAUAUGGGAAUAAAACGUUCCACGUGUGGGAUUUUGUAUGUACCAUAUGAAUAAGGAUCGGCUAACUCCGUGCCAGCAGCCGCGGUAAUACGGAGGAUCCGAGCGUUAUCCGGAUUUAUUGGGUUUAAAGGGAGCGUAGGUGGAUUGUUAAGUCAGUUGUGAAAGUUUGCGGCUCAACCGUAAAAUUGCAGUUGAAACUGGCAGUCUUGAGUACAGUAGAGGUGGGCGGAAUUCGUGGUGUAGCGGUGAAAUGCUUAGAUAUUACGAAGAACUCCGAUUGCGAAGGCAGUUCACUGGACUGCAACUGACACUGAGGCUCGAAAGUGUGGGUAUCAAACAGGAUUAGAUACCCCAGUAGUC